Molecule: unclassified non-coding RNA, 374 nt
Filed under: fungal sp.
Lineage: Eukaryota; Fungi
Description: partial internal transcribed spacer region
Rfam family: Eukaryotic small subunit ribosomal RNA (bases 1-46)
Source: RNAcentral
AAGUCGUAACAAGGUUUCCGUAGGUGAACCUGCGGAAGGAUCAUUAACACGUAUCCAACGUUAAACCCCCCGUGAACCUUCAGUGCGCUCGCACUUUCUUAGAAAAGGUAGCAAUCCCUGGUAAAUCAUUGCCGAACAGUUUUGAUUCAGGGACUUCUGCGUAGACUGUGCCUGGCAUUCCUCUGCUUGUUGGUGUCUGAAAGUGUCACCAGCUCUGUACGAAUGGCGCAGUCACGAUCGCUAGAGGCCGACACGGCCGGCGACCGGGUCACUGGGCGCGAGCCCCCCUCGUCACCUUUGCAUGAAAACGGGCCUGCGCUUAAUUGUGCGGCCACCAAACUCGACAACUGUUAACAAUGGAUAUCUUGGUUCUC